This 305-nucleotide ribosomal RNA is filed under the name uncultured bacterium. Its description in RNAcentral is "bacterial SSU rRNA". It matches the Rfam family "Bacterial small subunit ribosomal RNA", at positions 338 to 640 of the family's 1533-position model. The record is from RNAcentral.
CCUACGGGACGCAGCAGUGAGGAAUAUUGGUCAAUGGCCGGAAGGCUGAACCAGCCAAGCCGCGUGAAGGACGAAGGUGCCAAGCAUUGUAAACUUCUUUUGUCAAGGGACAAAAUCAGGCUCGAGAGCCUGACCGAGGGUACUUGAAGAAAAAGCAUCGGCUAACUCCGUGCCAGCAGCCGUGGUAAUACGUAGGGGGCAAGCGUUAUCCGGAAUUACUGGGUGUAAAGGGAGCGUAGACGGUUAAGUAAGUCUGGAGUGAAAGGCCGGGGCCCAACCCCGGGACUGCUCUGGAAACUAUUCAA